Molecule: ribosomal RNA, 192 nt
Filed under: Triticum aestivum (bread wheat)
Lineage: Eukaryota; Viridiplantae; Streptophyta; Magnoliopsida; Poales; Poaceae
Description: partial small subunit ribosomal RNA
Source: RNAcentral
AUGAAGUUCUUACUCUUUCUAUUGUUUGGAAAGAUCCCUCUGGAAUUACGACCUUUACCACAACGGUGCCGUCCAUGGAUCAAAUUAUUUCGUGGAUUGGAUUUCACUUGCCUGUCUACGGUUCCCUUGCGUAUGCUCGGGAUAGGUGUUUAGUAUAAAUGUUUCAUUGUAUUAUUAAGUAUUCUCCUUUAG